RNAcentral lists this unclassified non-coding RNA (455 nucleotides) under Hevea brasiliensis (rubber tree). The record is from RNAcentral. Lineage: Eukaryota; Viridiplantae; Streptophyta; Magnoliopsida; Malpighiales; Euphorbiaceae.
AAUGUUAUACUAGAUAAGUUCAGGAAUAGAUGUCAAAAUUUAUCCACAAAAAGACAACGUCUCAAGGAGAUAAGGACAGAUUUUUUACUUGACAGAAAGGUAAUGCUUCCACCCUAACUCCAAAGCUAUUGGUAAUGGUAAUCUAAACCAAUCAAAACUCGGUACAAGCAGGCCAAAUCAAGGUGAGUCCUAUUUUUUUGUGAAUGCUUCUCAUGGGUUUACUUUUAUUAUCAUUAUGACCAUUAUUAAAAGCUUUGUCAAAUGAUUGUACUUCAACAUUAACCCAACCCAUCCCAGCAGAACUCUACCAAUACAUCUACUGAUUCAAUUGAAAUGAUCUUAAUUCAAAUACAGGUCCACAUGAUAUAUGACAGAGAGUAGGGAAAAUUGAAACCAACAUUACAACAAGAGAAAGGAAUAUUUUAUGCAAACCUGAGGUUUAACCUCCACUGUAU